UAGAAAUAAAGCGGAGGUUAUCGGGGUGACAGGUGGUGCAUGGUCGUCGUCAGCUCGUGUCUUGAGAUGUUUGGUUAAGUCCCGCAACGAGCGCAACCCUACUCUCUAGUUAACUCAUUUAGAGAGACUGAACAGUAAUGUAUAGGAAGGAUAGGAUCACGUCAAAUCAUCAUGCCCCUUAUGUCUUGGGCCGCAAACGUGUUACAAUGGCGAAUACAACGUGGAGCGAACUAGCGAUAGCAAGCUAAUCACUAAAAAUUCUUCUCAGUCCGGAUAAAAGGCUGCAAUUCGCCUUUUUGA
Molecule: ribosomal RNA, 300 nt
Filed under: uncultured Mycoplasma sp.
Lineage: Bacteria; Bacillati; Mycoplasmatota; Mollicutes; Mycoplasmatales; Mycoplasmataceae
Description: bacterial SSU rRNA
Rfam family: Bacterial small subunit ribosomal RNA
Source: RNAcentral